This 1039-nucleotide long non-coding RNA is filed under the name Coturnix japonica (Japanese quail). RNAcentral describes it as "lncRNA (ENSCJPG00005000507.1)". The record is from RNAcentral. Lineage: Eukaryota; Metazoa; Chordata; Aves; Galliformes; Phasianidae.
GUCAAAUUACAUUGCAAGGAAAUUCUCUUACCAUUGUUUGAGAUAGCUGGAACAAAAUUACACCUGAAUACAGCCUUGCAUGAUGUACACAAAGUAGUCUGACCUCUUUUUACUGAGAUUUCUUGCUCAAAAGCAAAAAAUUCUUCAGAGGUAGUAAAUUCUCAGGAGCACAGGAACCAUUGUAAAAGUAGGUCAGCUGAAGCAUACAUUUGCUCUUCUCUUAGUAUGUGUAGGUGUACCAGCCUGCACAAGUGACAGGCAUACAGCAGUGUUCCCUACCCAAGAUGGAGGGUUUGUGCUUGAAUGCAUCUUAAAUUACUAUUCUGUUUGUUUGUUUGUUUGUUUGUUUAUAGAAAUGUUAAGCAAUUAAAUCAGUGACUAAUUCUUUAUUGUGAUCUUUUUUAGAUUUGGGCCUGCAGCUUCAUAGCUAAGGGUCAGUGACAACCCAGGCAGAAUCUUCUACUAUGUAGAGACAGUUUUAGAUAAAAUUUCCUGGACACUGUGGUGGACACAAUUCUAUAUGUCUGGUAACCAGCAGGCAUCUGCUGCUUUCAUCUCAGCAUCUCUGAUUGCCAUUUUGAAGAGACUUUUUUGCUGCUGUCAGAUCAUUAUACCAUAUUUACAGUUACAUUUGCAUUAUCACUGCCACUUGUAAAACUAGUUUAGAAAACAUCUUGAGGCUUUGUGAUGGCUUAUAUAUGCAUCAUUGUUUACAGCCCCUGCAUCAAUGAGCUCAUUGCCAUCUCAAAUGUUGAAAGCUGAACUCUGGUUUUAUGUCUAUUGUAUAAAAUCUCUUAUUAUGGCUUUCACAUAAAUAACUACAGCUCUAUUGUGCCUAGCUGCAAUGCAUUGAAUAAUUUAAUGACAUGCAACUCUACAGGCUGAAUUUUUACAAUCAUUAAAGUAUUAUUAUCUUCUGCCAUCUGUUUGUAUCUUGUUGAUUUUCCACUUGAACAUUUUGGAAGAUAAGGAAUUUUCAAAUUUUCUUUGAGAAAGCCAUGCCAAUGAAAUUACUCACAGUACCAGAAGCAAAAGUAAG